Long non-coding RNA from Puntigrus tetrazona (Sumatra barb), 1372 nucleotides. RefSeq lists it as uncharacterized. The transcript is spliced from 2 exons. The record is from RefSeq and is a predicted model, not a curated record. NCBI's taxonomy places the organism in Eukaryota, Metazoa, Chordata, Actinopteri, Cypriniformes, Cyprinidae.
CGAUCGUAUUGGAUAAGUGAUGGUGACUGACAUUUGUAACAGCCAAUCAGCAGUAAGUGUGACCUAUUUUAGAGCAGGUUGGCUUUGUUGGGUCAUGCGUCACCUCCGGCCCCGCCUUUUUGGUUUUUGUUAUGUUGACUUGUGUUUUAGGUAUGUGUUAGCAGUUAGCUCUUCGUUUGUCUCUUUUAUAAUGUUGUGGACUAAUCGUUUGUUAUUUCAUUUUAGCCUGUCUUUUCCUUUGUUUUCUGUCGAUGGCCAUGAGUUUAAUGACUGCUGUUUAUUCAGGUAAGCGCUUAAUACUGCUAGAAAAUGGGUUGGUAUGGACGGAGUGCGCAGUUUGAAUAAUAGGCAGUUUCCUGUACCCUAGCUUGUUAUUGGUAUUACUGAGGAUGCCGAAUCCCAAUUUGUGAAUGCGUGCGAGCAUACUUUUUCCGGUUUGGUAAGUCUCUAUUAGGUGGUGGUUAAAGGGGAAUAUUAGUGUGUGAUUUGCAAGCGGUAAUGGUGUUAAUUGCCCAUAUCUUUUUUGUAGGAUUCUCCCUUUCGUCCUGGGCGAUUAAAUGCGCCGUUCCUGACGUUUUUUUCCUGUCGCGCCGUGAACUUUCGGUUACUCGGAAGUCUUAGUUGAUACGGAGAUCUAUUACCCGCUACCUGCUUCCCGCUACCUGCUUCCCGCUACCUGCUUCCCGCUACCUGCUACCUGCUAUCUGCUACCUGCUACCUGCUAUCUACUACUGAUCCCUGUGAUUGUGAUUUGUGUUACUGGUUAUUAUUGUUUGUUUUUGUUUUGUUUAAAGUGGUUCUGCUUGAGGGCAUCUAUUUGAUUAUGGAGUAGCCGGUGCCCUGUGUGGAUUUUGCUCCUCCAUUGUGGAACUACAAAAAUUGUAUUCUUUUUCUUUCCUUUUUUAUAAUUUGUGUAUUUUUUGUUUUGUUGGACAUUUUGUAUUGUUUAUAUUCAACAUUAGUUUGCCUUGGUUGAAUUUGUUUGUUCGUUUCCCUUUCCUUUUUCUUGUGACAUUAUUGCCUGGAUUAGUGUGUAAGGUUUUGGUUUGUGUAAUACACAUUGCAUAUACUCAUUUUAUUUUUAUCUUCUUACAGGAGCUGGGGUUCCACGGGUGCAGGAGCUUGAGGUGGUGGUGUCACUUCAUCAUUUGCUGUGGACACGUUUGUGUGUGCAGUGAGUGUGUCGGGGUGUGUGUGUGUGUGUGGAGGUGUAAGUGUGCUUUUGGCUAAAUUCAGCACUGGUGAUCACUCCCGUGGGUGACCUCAGCCCUUUACCAUUGGAGAGUGCUGCCGGCAGUAGGUGAUGAGGAUUCAAUGUGACUUUUAAAUGGUGAAACAAUUGUGAAAAUAAAUUUUGUACUUUCAUGCUUUA